Lactuca sativa (garden lettuce) is the source of this 628-nucleotide long non-coding RNA. RefSeq lists it as uncharacterized. NCBI's taxonomy places the organism in Eukaryota, Viridiplantae, Streptophyta, Magnoliopsida, Asterales, Asteraceae. The record is from RefSeq and is a predicted model, not a curated record.
CAUAAACGAACGAAUAUGAUUAAUAUAACUUGUUAAACGAAUGAAAAUAAACAUAAAAAUUCGUUUGUUUAUCUGUUUGUAUUUAUUCGUUUGUUCGAACAAUCGUUGUUUGUAUAUAUUCCUUUUUACGACCAUUGAAAAUGUAAAACAUUUAGAUUUUAGGACUUAGGAGCCGGACAAAAAUAACUAACCAAAUUGGGCUUUUAUGUAAAUUGUUUAACCCCAGAGAUUGCAAACCCGGAUCCAUUGGGCCGUCCAUUAAGAUUUAGGGUUCGCUAAAUAGCCCCACCCCAUCCCCUUUCUUUCAUUAUACCGUCGGCUAGGGUUUUAUAACUGAAAAAGGAAAAACACAACAAACCCAAGCUAUCCGAUCACCAUGAGAGCCAAGUGGAAGAAGAAGAGAAUGAGGAGAUUGAAGAGGAAGCGCCGAAAGAUGAGGCAGAGAUCUAAGUAAUAAUAUGUUUGUUUGGAAUAAUAAUCUGCCAGACUUUUUGAAGGAAUCAUCACCAUCGUGUCAAUUUCCGUUUCAUAUUUUUCUAUUCGAACAUGUCGUAAUCAGUACUGUUUAGUUUUGUUAUGGUUUUUGGAUUCUGUUAUUUUAAUGGUGCGAGUUUAGUUAAUUUCCCAA